Molecule: small nuclear RNA, 159 nt
Organism: Oryctolagus cuniculus (rabbit)
Lineage: Eukaryota; Metazoa; Chordata; Mammalia; Lagomorpha; Leporidae
Gene: U2
Rfam family: U2 spliceosomal RNA
About the family: U2 is a small nuclear RNA (snRNA) component of the spliceosome (involved in pre-mRNA splicing). Complementary binding between U2 snRNA (in an area lying towards the 5' end but 3' to hairpin I) and the branchpoint sequence (BPS) of the intron results the bulging out of an unpaired adenosine, on the BPS, which initiates a nucleophilic attack at the intronic 5' splice site, thus starting the first of two transesterification reactions that mediate splicing.
Source: Ensembl
AUCGCUUCUCGGCCUUUUGGCUAAGAUCAAGUAGAAUAAGAUUGAGACUGAGCAUUUUAAAGUGUUUUUAAGACUUAGAUUUACUUUUUGUUCUGUGAACUUGAAGCAAAUGACUACAAUUGUUAUCCUUCUCAUCAUUUAGCAAGUCCUAGAACCUUA